Cydia fagiglandana is the source of this 648-nucleotide long non-coding RNA. RefSeq lists it as uncharacterized. The record is from RefSeq and is a predicted model, not a curated record. The transcript has 3 exons. NCBI's taxonomy places the organism in Eukaryota, Metazoa, Arthropoda, Insecta, Lepidoptera, Tortricidae.
CGCCUAUACAAACAACCGCGGUAACUCCUCGAGCAAGAAACUAUAACUGAGCAACAAAUCCAGAAUACUACUACCUAUGGCCAACGCCGUAUGCGAGCAAGAAACUCGGAUCAUAUCAAAACCCUGAAGUGGCGCGACCUGCACCAGUUCACAGAGCGUCAGAGAGAGAGAGAGAGAGAGAGAGAGAGAGAGAGAGAGAGAGAGAGAGAGAGAGAGGAGGAGGACAACGUCAACUACCACCGCACACCACCAGACACCUCUCCGACACCAGCAGCGGCAGUACUACUAACUACUAUCAACGAUAUCAACUUACACCGAAAGAUUUCAGAGAAAGCUGGACAUCAACAAAAGACUCCUCUAACAUCAUUUGUAGCCGUACGCGAGCAAGCAAUUCGGACCUUAUCAAAACCCUGAAGUGGCGCGACCUGCACCAGUUCACAGAGCGUCAAGAGAGAGAGAAGGAGGACAACGUCAACCGCCACCACACACCACCGGACACCUCUCCGACACCACCAGCUGCAGUAUCUACCCAAACAGAACUCAAUAAUACGCAGUAUUAUUCACUGCGACCUCGAAAUCCGAUCCCGAUAUAAAAGGACAUCCGCCGCCACCGACUAUCGACCGAGACUAGACACCCAAUCACUACUA